Long non-coding RNA from Ceratina calcarata, 3977 nucleotides. RefSeq lists it as uncharacterized. The record is from RefSeq and is a predicted model, not a curated record. The transcript has 3 exons. Lineage: Eukaryota; Metazoa; Arthropoda; Insecta; Hymenoptera; Apidae.
UCCAAAAUCACCCCUUUUCGGCUCUAACACUUUCCCUGGGACACCCUGUAUUUUUAUUUAUCGUCCAUUAGUCUAGUACCUGCGUCGCCGUAUAAAUACUAUGCCUAUAAAUAAUACGUCACUGUCCUUAUUACGAUGACCUCCUUAAUCGUAGUGAAAGAGAAGAGGUGAUGGCUCACAUUUACGAUGGCCGAGCAAAAAUUUUACGAACUUUCUUCCUAGUGACCGAAAAGCGAUUAGUGAAAGUCGACCGAGAUAAGCUCUUAGAAGAAAGUGUUUCCUAAAUAUUUUUGGAUCCCUUGCUCUCAUCGAAUAUGGAUACUCGUCAUAACUUAAGGAUAGUUAAGCAUACGCAAUUGUACGCUUUCAGAAUGUAUUAAGACCGAACGACAAGUAAUAGCUACAGCUUCAAGUCUCGUUAUGUCAAUUUUUCAAACGUAAGUCUUCAGUUUUUUAUCAAAAGUGGUUCACCAACGUCUUUGAAGACCAGACGUCUUUAUACAGGGUGUCCCAGAAGAAGUGUUAGAUACCAAAAGAGGUAAUUCUGGAGGUGUUUCUGAACAACAAUUUCCUUUGGUAAAAUGUAAAAUAGGAUAAUAAGUGUCGUCGUUACCCUAACCGUUCCCAGCAUCACUCGAUACAUCGAUCCGAUUAGCAUCGGACGCAAGAAAACAAGUCGUACGUAAGAAUCGGUAAUUAACGAUGCAGAGAAAAGCGAUCGUCGCCCGUCUACUCAUGAUCCAGCGUAGAAUAAAUGAACCGUUGACUAGAAAUGACGUCAAAUACUUGGAGCCAGACAAGGUCUGGCGAUCACACAGGCGUUUAAUAAACGUCAAACGAAUUCAAUAUUAAUUCGUCGAUGUACCCGUGUAACUCGUGAUAAUUGAUCGAUAAACAAGCUGGGUGAAAGGUGAAACACUUGGAGUUAAACAGAUCCACGAUCAGGCGUGGAUAUCUACAUAUGUAUGUACGUUACUAUCGAAUUCUAAUAAAGUGGAACAGGAAGGAAAUUAAUGAUUCGGUGGACAGGUAACUGGUCGAAGAUUUAAAUUCGACGAUAUCGAUAUCCCAGGAGGACACUGAAAUAUGACCUCAACCUCUCGUUAAGAUCGUUGCACCGUCACUCCAGCCAGUUUCAUUCUUUCGUUUCGUUUCGGUUCGUUCACGUGCGAAGCUAAAUCUACACGUGUACCUUGAACUCUACAUGACAUUUCCAUCGACUCAUUUCAAAAUCACCGGAAAUUUGUUCCGACAAAUUUAUUUUUACUACCGAUCUAUCAAUUAUGAGACGAAACAUACAGAUGAUUCCUCAGAAGCGUUUUAUCGUUGAAGGUUCUGGACAAACAUGACGUUGCUGGCUGUUCGCGGGAAGAAACCGUACAUCGUAGCAAAAAAAGCUGUGUACCAGGGGGUUUUCCCCGAUUAUCCAGUUACGUGGCGCGACAUAAUUCUCGGAAUGUCCACCGCCGUGGCGGCCAUUAGCUUCCCAACGAGAAGCGACUCGGGGCUGCCCAGCCGAACGACCUCGAUAUCUUUUGAGGUAAGCCUUUUUGCUCUUCUGGCGUCAAAAUCUCAUUUUUCUUACAUAUACGUUUCGCGAAUAGAACAAAGGUAUCGAUAUACAAUAAUAUACAUAUAUGUAUAUAUACAAAGUGUCUUAGCCGAUUUCGACAUGUUGACAACUUUGGUAUUGUGGCAUGUAGCGAAAAAUGUUUCAUAGGAAACUUAAAUGGUAUCGAGUGGGGCAUAUUCUGGUGUUAUUAGUUUUUCCGUAGGUAGAUGCGUCAAGGAUAUAUGAAGGUCAACAUUGUUUUUUUAAAUAAAUAAGGUACUUUUUUAUGCAUCAAGCGAUACAGCUAAACAUUCUUUACAAAAACGAGUAAAUUAGAAUGCAUGUGCCUCCCACACCUUUUAGAUCUGUCCCUACCUUUUACAUACCGCGACUAUUCUCGAGGUAUGGCGAGAUUGACCCGGUCACUAAACCUUGCAGGACAGUCAAUGAAUUAGGCUCCAUCAUUGGCGUAUUUCAUGAUGGAGUUACAUCUGUUAAAAGAAAGAUAUACCUUGUCUUCUCACUAAUAUUCCUGGUACACUUACUGUAUCAUGUUUACUUGCUAGCCCUAGUCUUAAUCCCUGCUGAUUCACUUCCACUCUUUUGUUAUACUUAUUUAAUUUAAUAUAUGUCUUUCUUUUCUUUUCUUUCUCUUUUAUCUCAUCUUAUGUCUGAUAUUGUUACUAUAUUUUUACUGUAUUCUUUCUGUUGUGUUAUAAUGGGCUCUGUGUGUGAAAUAAAGUAUUAUAAUUAUUAUUAUAUAUAUACAUAUUCAGGAUCUCCGCAUGUAUUUCUAAGUUGCGAACCACUGUAAACGUGUAUCGAACGAGAGUGGUGCGAGUGCGUGUCGCGGCACGUGGAGGAAACCCCUUCACCCUUGACUUUCGCCAGCGCGCAUGAAACCAGGAGGCGAUUGCACUUUUAAGAGUGUGCCCCGCCGCAACCGCUGCCGCCGCCGAUGCACCUGCGUUCAGUUUAUCGAGAACCGCGGCGGUCCCGAUCUUGUCCGAGAAAGAACGAAGGUCACCGAGCCUCGGCCGUAUAUAAAACACAGUCGGGUGUCGGGUCGGGUAACGACGCUCAGCUGCUCCCGCGUUCGUAUCGUUCAUUCUGCGUCCUGCGUUCACAAGCGUGGCGUGCCAGUGAGUGCGAGAGACCAGUGCCAGCAGCAGACCUCUGAAAUCUCGGUAUAAAAGUAGAAACGAGUUCAAGCGCGCGAAAGUGAUAUAACAAGUCGUGCGACGUUCCCUUUCGACGAUCGAGAUAGACGCGACGGGGUGAAACAGCGUCAGAGAGUAAAACGAUUAAAACAAGUAAAACUCGGGGAGUAAACGAUCGCCGCGAUGUACACGAAUCCGUUCAACCGCAAGCACAGUACGAUCCGUCAGAUGCUGGAUCGACUGCUAUUGGACCCGACCAAGAAAACCAUCAAGAGGUCGGAAAGUAUGUCGAGCUCAGGAAGCGGCGGCAGCUCGAAUCGAGGUAGCGAUGGGUACCUGAGCAGAUGCAACCACGGCCACAGGAUGCUCUGGGCUAGGAAGUGAACAACGUCGCUGAACGAAAGGAAACAGCUACUGUUCAUUACUUUUCCUUCCUAUUUCGCCCUCCGUCGCAACCGACAAUGACUGGGGACAAUUCCGCGAUGGAGCCAACGAACCUCGUCGGCGAGUUCAGCGAAUUGUAUCAGUAGCGGAAAAUGCCACGGACGUAAUGAAAGGCGGUAGGACUCGGCAUCAGUUGAUCGCGCGGUCGGACUCGCUGCGCAAAUUGCCCCCUGCAACUUACAAGGGAAAUCUUGAAACCGUACCACCGGGACAGGUGUUAUUACGCCGUCGGGGAAAAUCGAUAGGUACUAUUUAUUCGGAUCGAUGAUCAAAGGAUCCGGUCUCACGGCUACUUGGAUACGAUGUCGUGGCCAGGUAUAAAUCCGGCCGCCGCCGUCGACGUUCCGUUCCCUAUCGGAGGGAAUAUCGAUGUCACCGACAACUUCUUGACGGGUCAACAACGAAUGGAUGUCGACGUCGAACAACCGACGAAUUCAACUUGGAUCGAUCGCCAACCAGUUCGAAUUACGUGUUCGAAAUGAGACAAUCGAGAAUCGCAGAUAUUAGAUGAUACUCGAUGGAUUUAUUUAUCAUACGUCGUUCCUCUUCUAUGUAUGUUAUUCGUACGUUAGACAAAAAUUUAAAUGUACAUAUGUCGAGUCACACUGUGUGCCAUACUUAAUUGUUAAAUAUAAUAGUUUGCAUUGUUUCGCGAAUAUCGCGAUACACAUUUGGUUUCUCCGCGAUUGUAUGUGGUUUACCGGAUAGCUGCAAAUUUUAUAUAUUACUAGUCAAAAGCCAGUAUUAUAAUCUUGCUUGCUUUUUUAAUUUAUUUUGUUUUGUACGACGAUUGCAUGAAAUUAAACAUAUUUACCAUACAA